UACAGGGGGUGCAAACGUUGCUCGGAAUUAUUGGGCGUAAAGCGCGCGUAGGCGGCUACUUAAGUCGGAUGUGAAAGCCCUUGGCUCAACUGAGGAAGUGCACCCGAAACUGAGUGGCUUGAGUACUAAAGAGGGUCGCGGAAUUCCCGGUGUAGAGGUGAAAUUCGUAGAUAUCGGGAGGAACACCGGUGGCGAAGGCGGCGACCUGGGUAGAUACUGACGCUGAGGUGCGAAAGCGUGGGGAGCAAACAGG
This 253-nucleotide ribosomal RNA is filed under the name uncultured bacterium. RNAcentral describes it as "partial 16S ribosomal RNA". It matches the Rfam family "Bacterial small subunit ribosomal RNA", at positions 524 to 776 of the family's 1533-position model. The record is from RNAcentral.